AGUGAACGCUGGCGGUAGGCCUAACACAUGCAAGUCGAACGGCAGCACAGUAAGAGCCUGCUCUUACGGGUGGCGAGUGGCGGACGGGUGAGGAAUACAUCGGAAUCUACUUUUUCGUGGGGGAUAACGUAGGGAAACUUACGCUAAUACCGCAUACGACCUACGGGUGAAAGCAGGGGAUCUUCGGACCUUGCGCGAUUGAAUGAGCCGAUGUCGGAUUAGCUAGUUGGCGGGGUAAAGGCCCACCAAGGCGACGAUCCGUAGCUGGUCUGAGAGGAUGGUCAGCCACACUGGAACUGAGACACGGUCCAGGCUCCUACGGGAGGCAGCAGUGGGGAAUAUUGGACAAUGGGCGCAAGCCUGAUCCAGCCAUACCGCGUGGGUGAAGAAGGCCUUCGGGUUGUGAAGCCCUUUUGUUGGGAAAGAAAAGCAGCAGGUUAAUACCCCGCUGUUCUGACGGUACCCAAAGAAUAAGCACCGGCUAACUUCGUG
RNAcentral lists this ribosomal RNA (492 nucleotides) under uncultured bacterium. Its description in RNAcentral is "partial 16S ribosomal RNA". It matches the Rfam family "Bacterial small subunit ribosomal RNA", at positions 29 to 507 of the family's 1533-position model. The record is from RNAcentral.